GUUGAAUCCAGGAAACUUUACCACUAAGCUAUAUCCCCUUCCCUUUUCACUUUUUUUUAUUUUGAGAUAGGGUCUUACUAAGUUACUUAGGGUCUCACUAAAUUGCUGAGGCUGGCCUUGAACUUGCAAUCCUACUGCCUCAACCUGGUAUUACAGGUGUGUGUCAUCAUAACAGUUGUUCAUUUAUGUUUUUAAAAGAUAUUUUUUAUGUUUAAAAGAGAAUUUGAGAAACAUGACAAAAUGCUUCAUUGACUACUUUUCACAAUAAAAUAUGCAACAUAUUGUUUUUCAAGCACACACUGAGGUACUCUAACAACAGAUGCAAAAGCAUAACAGUUAUGAGCAGACAAACCAUAUCCAUAAAGAAAUAGGUCAAGCCAGGAAUAGUGGAGCAUACCUGUAAUCCCAGAUACUUGGGAGGUUACGUAGGACGAUAACAAGUUUGAGGCCAGACUCAGCAACUGGGAAAUCUUUUCUCAAAAUAAAGCAUAAAAAGGGCUGAGAAUGAUGCUCAGUGGUAGAGCACCCCUAGGUUCCAGCCCCAGUACCAGAGAGGAUAAAGAAAAAAAAAGGCAAAAAUAGGUCACAAAGUGAUAAAUACAAAAUCACAAAGAGAAGUAAUGUUGUGCACCUAGCUUAAUAAAUGCCAUCAUCAAAUUCAGUGAAAGACACCCUACAUCUUUUGAGGAGACAUUAAAAAACAUGAUGGGUCAAUAUCACACAACCAAUUGCUCCAAGAUUGGAGAUUGAGAAAUUUUUAUCUGUCACCAAGGUAGAUAUAGAAAAAAGGACAUUUCUUAAUUUACAAAAGAAUUUUCAAUUUUUUAAAUGUAAAGUCACAAUGCUUCCACACUAAGUCAACAUUGUAAUAAUGUACUUUUGCAGAAUCAAAUUUGCACAGAACAGCAUAAAACAAAUUAUAAUUCAUCUAGAAGUAUUUACACUAUUUAUAACUCCAGUAUGGAAGUAAUAUGAAGAUGAAAUACAGAACAGCAAAUUAUAAGAAAUAAUGUUGACAAAAAUUGUGGUAAAAACCUGAAAAAUUCAACAGGAAGAGAUUACGGGAAAUUACACAGCAGUAGUCUAUAAGUACUGACCAACUUCCAAGAUCAUUAACAAUGUUUUGAAGCCUUGCAUUGAGAUAAAUAGCUGUUUUUUCUUAAGGCAUGCUCUCCUUGAAGAAUACAUCCACACUCAUUUUCUAGUGAUGCUUCUCUUUUUGAAAUUUUUCUAUGAUUCAAUAGAGAGCAAAAUAAGCAUUAAAAUUUCCCAUUUUCUGCAUCAUGCUUAUAUGUUGUUUUGGGUGCAUAGAAAUCCAUUUUGCAUGCCUUCAUAUAUAGACCACAAGUUUGGCAGAAAAAUACUGAUAUGCAACAUCAUUGCAUAUCUUUUUUUCCCCACUGUUAUAGUACUGGAGAUUGAACCCACAGCUGUUCUACUACUGAGCUAUAUCCCCAGCCUUUUUUAUGUUUUAAUUUGAGACAGGACCUCAUGAAAUUGGAGAGGCAGGCCUUGAACUUGUUAUCCUCUUGCCUCAGUUUCUGGAAUAGCUGGAUUUAUAGGCAUGCACCACUGCACCCAGCCAUCCUUGCAUUAUCUUCUUUUCCCACGUGCACAUUAUUAUUUUGGAAUAAGUGACUUUGUUGGCCUCUUCAGGCAAAUAUGGUUUCAAUCCAUUAGAAAAUCCUGGACGUUUUCAUCCUUGCUGAAUCUCAUGAUCAACACACUCAUUUGAGUAUUCCCACAUUGUGGUGAGCCACUUCUGCUGUUUCUGCAGACUAUGGUUGCCAUUACAACAUGGCGCUGGCUCCGCUGUGGUCUGUGACAAACAACUCCUUAUCUAGGAAAGUUGGCACAUGAUUUUUCACCACCCUGUGAGAAAGCUCCACGCGGCAGCUUUGCAUUGGGGCUUGGGAUGCUUUAUUAAGGCUGGGAGGGGCAUCCGAGAGGGAGAAGAAGAAAUAUCAAGGGCCUGAAUAAACUGCUGAAAGAAGAUUCCUGAGU
This 2004-nucleotide long non-coding RNA is filed under the name Marmota monax (woodchuck). Lineage: Eukaryota; Metazoa; Chordata; Mammalia; Rodentia; Sciuridae. The record is from RNAcentral.